UACGUAGGGGCCUAGCGUUGUUCGGAAUUACUGGGCGUAAAGGGCGCGUAGGCGGUUUGCUAAGUUGGAUGUGAAAACUCUGGGCUUAACCCAGAGCCUGCAUCCAAAACUGGCAAACUUGAGUACUGGAGGGGAAAGCGGAAUUCCUGGUGUAGCGGUGAAAUGCGCAGAUAUCAGGAAGAACACCCGUGGCGAAGGCGGCUCUCUGGGACGGUACUGACGCUGAGACGCGAAAGCGUGGGGAGCGAACAGG
This 253-nucleotide ribosomal RNA is filed under the name uncultured bacterium. RNAcentral's name for it is "partial 16S ribosomal RNA". It matches the Rfam family "Bacterial small subunit ribosomal RNA", at positions 524 to 776 of the family's 1533-position model. The record is from RNAcentral.